This 466-nucleotide ribosomal RNA is filed under the name uncultured bacterium. RNAcentral's name for it is "bacterial SSU rRNA". It matches the Rfam family "Bacterial small subunit ribosomal RNA", at positions 330 to 792 of the family's 1533-position model. The record is from RNAcentral.
CCCAGACUCCUACGGGAGGCAGCAGUGAGGAAUAUUGGUCAAUGGCCGAGAGGCUGAACCAGCCAAGUAGCGUGCAGGAUGACGGCCCUCCGGGUUGUAAACUGCUUUUAGUUGGGAAUAAAAGGGGGCUCGUGAGCCCCGUAUUGUAUGUACCAUCAGAAAAAGGACCGGCUAAUUCCGUGCCAGCAGCCGCGGUAAUACGGAAGGUCCGGGCGUUAUCCGGAUUUAUUGGGUUUAAAGGGUGCGUAGGCGGAAUGCCAAGUCAGCGGUAAAAUCGCGGGGCUCAACCUCGCUCCGCCGUUGAAACUGGCGUUCUUGAGUGGGCGAGAAGUAUGCGGAAUGCGUGGUGUAGCGGUGAAAUGCUUAGAUAUCGCGCAGAACCCCGAUUGCGAAGGCAGCGUACCGGCUCCACACUGACGCUGAGGCACGAAAGCGUGGGUAUCGAACAGGAUUAGAUACCCUCGUA